Molecule: long non-coding RNA, 983 nt
Filed under: Naja naja (Indian cobra)
Lineage: Eukaryota; Metazoa; Chordata; Lepidosauria; Squamata; Elapidae
Description: lncRNA (ENSNNAG00000007100.1)
Source: RNAcentral
CAGAUUUUCCGUGGCUGAGCAAGACAGCUGUCAAAUUGGCAGUGGAGCAUUAAGAGGGAGCUUAAAAGAAAUAAUCAAAAUACAACAGAGAGGAAAACGAUUGGAUCAGUGAAAGCAGAUGGUUUAUUGACACGGAGUAACCCUGAAGGGCUCACCGCCUUGUAGGAAAAAGGCCCUCUUACUCAUAAAAGUCUACAAACAAAGGCAACUACAUUUUAAGAGUAUUUUAGAGACUGCACAAUUUUUUGUUGUUGAAACACACACAAACCCAGACAGACAGCAGGCCGAUGUGCAAAUCUAGGAAUUUCCGGAUAGAUUGGAUGGAUUUUGCAACCACACUAAAUUGGCAUUAUUGGAUCUUUCUAUCCAUCGAACAAUUUUUUGACUGAUUAGGAGGCUAAGAGGUAAUUUUUCCUGCCCGUUUCCAGAGGCAGCUACUCAAAAAAUCCAGUUUGGGUGAGUAUAAUGAAUUUUGCUCUGGGGCCAAGUUGAGUUCCAGACUCUGGUUUUGCAAGGGGUGAUGAUGGAUCAACACUUGCUGAUUCCACCCCACCCAAAAAAGUGAACCCUGAAAUUGUGGGAAAAUGGGAGAAAAAAAACAUGCAGGCAGGUAUAAAUUUAGGGUAAUCUAAUUCAGGGGUUUUCAAACGGUGUAAUUUCACGAGGAGCUUUUAAAAAGGAAAAAAAAAGUAGUACUUUCUAGACUUUUAUUUUUUUUUAACUUGAUCCAUGCUGGGGCUUUUUUCCUUUUUUAUGAAGAGACCUGAAAAAGUUUGAAAUCCAACAAUCUACUUUUGAACGGGGCUUAUUGGAUAAGCCUGUUUUGCAUUGCAAUAUAUAUAAAACACCUAUUGGAUAAGGUUCUUCACCUGCCAUGUUGGAUUUUCAGUUGAAUUAAUACUGCUGGGUUGUUGUUGUUUUUUCAACGCCUGCUACUGUUUUAGGUUUUUUUUUUUCUCUUUUCUUAAAAAAAAUAUUGCGAA